CCUACGGGAGGCAGCAGUGAGGAAUAUUGGUCAAUGGACGAGAGUCUGAACCAGCCAAGUAGCGUGAAGGAUGACUGCCCUAUGGGUUGUAAACUUCUUUUAUAUGGGAAUAAAAUGUUCCACGUGUGGGCUUUUGUAUGUACCAUAUGAAUAAGGAUCGGCUAACUCCGUGCCAGCAGCCGCGGUAAUACGGAGGAGCCGAGCGUUAUCCGGAUUUAUUGGGGUUAAAGGGAGCGUAGGUGGAUUGUUAAGUCAGUUGUGAAAGUUUGCGGCUCAACCGUAAAAUUGCAGUUGAAACUGGCAGUCUUGAGUACAGUAGAGGUGGGCGGAAUUCGUGGUGAAGCGGUGAAAUGCUUAGAUAUCACGAAGAACCCCGAUUGCGAAGGCAGCUCACUGGACUGCAACUGACACUGAGGCUCGAAAGUGUGGGUAUCAAACAGGAUUAGAUACCCGGGUAGUC
This 460-nucleotide ribosomal RNA is filed under the name uncultured bacterium. Its description in RNAcentral is "partial 16S ribosomal RNA". It matches the Rfam family "Bacterial small subunit ribosomal RNA", at positions 338 to 795 of the family's 1533-position model. The record is from RNAcentral.